AGAGUUUGAUCCUGGCUCAGGAUGAACGCUAGCGGGAGGCUUAACACAUGCAAGUCGAGCGGCAGCGCGGGGGCAACCCUGGCGGCGAGCGGCGAACGGGUGAGUAAUACAUCGGAACGUACCCUGUCGUGGGGGAUAACUAACCGAAAGGUUGGCUAAUACCGCAUACGACCUGAGGGUGAAAGCGGGGGAUCGCAAGACCUCGCGCGAUAGGAGCGGCCGAUGUCAGAUUAGCUAGUUGGUGAGGUAAAGGCUCACCAAGGCGACGAUCUGUAGCGGGUCUGAGAGGACGGCCCGCCACACUGGAACUGAGACACGGUCCAGACUCCUACGGGAGGCAGCAGUGGGGAAUUUUGGACAAUGGGCGCAAGCCUGAUCCAGCCAUUCCGCGUGAGUGAGGAAGGCCUUCGGGUUGUAAAGCUCUUUCGGCAGGAACGAAACGGUCCUGGUUAACACCUGGGGCUAAUGACGGUACCUGAAGAAGAAGCACCGGCUAACUACGUGCCAGCAGCCGCGGUAAUACGUAGGGUGCGAGCGUUAAUCGGAAUUACUGGGCGUAAAGCGUGCGCAGGCGGUUUUGUAAGACAGAUGUGAAAUCCCCGGGCUCAACCUGGGAACUGCGUUUGUGACUGCAAGACUUGAGUGUGGCAGAGGGGGGUGGAAUUCCACGUGUAGCAGUGAAAUGCGUAGAGAUGUGGAGGAACACCGAUGGCGAAGGCAGCCCCCUGGGUCAACACUGACGCUCAUGCACGAAAAGCGUGGGUAGCAAACAGGAUUAGAUACCCCUGGUAGUCCACGCCCUAAACGAUGCGAACUAGGUGUUGGAGAAGGAGACUUCUUUAGUACCGCAGCUAACGCGUGAAGUUCGCCGCCUGGGGAGUACGGUCGCAAGAUUAAAACUCAAAGAAAUUGACGG
RNAcentral lists this ribosomal RNA (916 nucleotides) under uncultured beta proteobacterium. RNAcentral's name for it is "bacterial SSU rRNA". It matches the Rfam family "Bacterial small subunit ribosomal RNA", at positions 8 to 916 of the family's 1533-position model. The record is from RNAcentral. Lineage: Bacteria; Pseudomonadati; Pseudomonadota; Betaproteobacteria.